AGCAGCAGCCGCGGGAAUACGAAGGGGGCUAGCGUUGUUCGGAUUUACUGGGCGUAAAGCGCACGUAGGCGGAUCGAUCAGUCAGGGGUGAAAUCCCAGAGCUCAACUCUGGAACUGCCUUUGAUACUGUCGAUCUGGAGUAUGGAAGAGGUGAGUGGAAUUCCGAGUGUAGAGGUGAAAUUCGUAGAUAUUCGGAGGAACGCCAGUGGCGAAGGCGGCUCACUGGUCCAUUACUGACGCUGAGGUGCGAAAGCGUGGGGAGCAAACAGGAUUAGAUACCCCCGUAGUCCCUGUCUCUUAUAC
Molecule: ribosomal RNA, 303 nt
Filed under: uncultured bacterium
Lineage: Bacteria
Description: partial 16S ribosomal RNA
Rfam family: Bacterial small subunit ribosomal RNA
Source: RNAcentral